RNAcentral lists this ribosomal RNA (465 nucleotides) under uncultured bacterium. RNAcentral describes it as "partial 16S ribosomal RNA". It matches the Rfam family "Bacterial small subunit ribosomal RNA", at positions 28 to 507 of the family's 1533-position model. The record is from RNAcentral.
GACGAACGCUGGCGGCGUGCUUAACACAUGCAAGUCGAACGGAAAGGCCCCCUUGUGGGGUACUCGAGUGGCGAACGGGUGCGUAACACGUGAGUAACCUACCCUUGACUUUGGGAUAACUUCAGGAAACUGGGGCUAAUACCGGAUAGGCGCUCCUGCUGCAGGGUGGGGGUUGGAAAGUUUCGGCGGUUGGGGAUGGGCUCGCGGCUGAUCAGCUUGUUGGUGGGGUAGUGGCUCACCAAGGCGUUGACGGGUAGCCGGCCUGAGAGGGUGACCGGCCACAUUGGGACUGAGAUACGGCCCAGACUCCUACGGGAGGCAGCAGUGGGGAAUAUUGCACAAUGGGCGGAAGCCUGAUGCAGCAACGCCGCGUGCGGGAUGACGGCCUUCGGGUUGUAAACCGCUUUCGCCUGUGACGAAGCGUGAGUGACGGUAAUGGGUAAAGAAGCACCGGCUAACUACGUG